RNAcentral lists this ribosomal RNA (443 nucleotides) under uncultured archaeon. RNAcentral describes it as "bacterial SSU rRNA". It matches the Rfam family "Archaeal small subunit ribosomal RNA", at positions 10 to 458 of the family's 1478-position model. The record is from RNAcentral.
CAUUCUGCCGGACCUGACUGCUAUCGGAUUGAUACUAAGCCAUGCGAGUCAUUGUAGCAAUACAAGGCAUACGGCUCAGUAACGCGUAGUCAACCUAACCUAUGGACGGGAAUAACCUCGGGAAACUGAGAAUAAUGCCCGAUAGAACAUUAUGCCUGGAAUGGUUUAUGUUCCAAAUGAUUUAUCGCCGUAGGAUGGGACUGCGGCCUAUCAGUUUGUUGGUGAGGUAAUGGCCCACCAAGACUAUUACAGGUACGGGCUCUGAGAGGAGUAGCCCGGAGAUGGGUACUGAGACACGGACCCAGGCCCUAUGGGGCGCAGCAGGCGAGAAAACUUUGCAAUGUGCGAAAGCACGACAAGGUUAAUCCGAGUGGUUUCUGCUAAAGAAACCUUUUGUCAGUCCUAGAAACACUGAUGAAUAAGGGGUGGGCAAGUUCUGGUGU